This 72-nucleotide transfer RNA is filed under the name Bacteroidota bacterium. RNAcentral's name for it is "tRNA-Cys". It matches the Rfam family "tRNA". Rfam says of the family: Transfer RNA (tRNA) molecules are approximately 80 nucleotides in length. The record is from RNAcentral. Lineage: Bacteria; Pseudomonadati; Bacteroidota.
GGCCGGUUGCCCGAAUGGUAAGGGCAUUCUCUGCAAAAGAAUUGUUUACAGGUUCGAUCCCUGUACCGGCCU